Molecule: unclassified non-coding RNA, 220 nt
Filed under: Hevea brasiliensis (rubber tree)
Lineage: Eukaryota; Viridiplantae; Streptophyta; Magnoliopsida; Malpighiales; Euphorbiaceae
Source: RNAcentral
UGGCUUUAUUCCCCUUCUAUCGUUACUAAUCGACAUUGAUUAGUUAUAGCUAAGGCUAAAUUUACUGGACAAAAGUGAUGGCAAAAAGGGAUUUAAAAACAUUGAAAUAGCUGGAAACACCAUAUGAGGAAGGAAAUGCAUGUACAAUAAGAUGAAAACCAACUUAUAGGACAAAAAGAUGUUCAGGAUUAGAUUCCUCGGAAAACAAAGUUGAAUGGUG